UUAUGCUGAUAAGAGCGUAUGGUGGAUGCCUUGGCACUAAGAGCCGAUGAAAGACGUGAUAAGCUGCGAAAAGCUUCGGGGAGGAGCAAAUAUCCUUUGAUCCGGAGAUUUCUGAAUGGGGAAACCUACUUGAGCAAACCUCAAGUAUCCUUAAGCCAAUACAUAACUUAAGGAAGGGAACCCGGUGAACUGAAACAUCUAAGUAGCCGGAGGAAGAGAAAGAAACAUCGAUUCUGUGAGUAGCGGCGAGCGAAAACGGAAGAGCCCAAACCAGCGUGCGUGCAUGCUGGGGUUCGGACCGCGGAAUUGAUUCAACGAGUUUAGCAGAACGGUUUUGGGAAAGCCGGCCAGAGAGGGUGAAAGCCCCGUACGUGAAAGCUGAUGAGACUGAGCAGGAUCCAGAGUACCACGAGACACGAGAAACCUUGUGGGAAUGAGCGGGGACCACCCCGUAAGGCUAAAUACUCCUUAGUGACCGAUAGCGCAUAGUACUGUGAAGGAAAGGUGAAAAGGACCCCGGGAGGGGAGUGAAAGAGAACCUGAAACCCUGUGUUUACAAGCUGUGGAAGUAUCGAAAGGGUACAACCGCGUACUUUUUGUAGAACGGUCCGGCGAGUUACGCUGGCUGGCGAGGUUAAGGACUAAAGGUCCGGAGCCGAAGGGAAACCAAGUCUUAAUAGGGCGUCCAGUCAGCCGGAGUAGACCCGAAACCGGGUGAUCUAUCCAUGUCCAGGUUGAAGUUGCCGUAAAAGGCAAUGGAGGACCGAACCCACAUCCGUUGAAAAGGGUGGGGAUGAGGUGUGGAUAGGGGAGAAAUUCCAAUCGAACCCGGAGAUAGCUGGUUCUCCUCGAAAUAGCUUUAGGGCUAGCCUCAAUUUAGUCUUGCGGAGGUAGAGCACUGAAUUUCCUAGGGGGCGUCAAAGCCUACCGAAGAAUAUCAAACUCCGAAUGCCGUGUAAUUGCUUACCAGGAGUCAGACUGCACGAGAUAAGUUGGGUAGUCAAAAGGGAAAGAGCCCAGACCUACAGCUAAGGUCCCAAAAUGUGUGUUAAGUGGAAAAGGAUGUGGGAUUUCGAAGACAACUAGGAUGUUGGCUCAGAAGCAGCCAUUCAUUCAAAGAGUGCGUAAUAGCUCACUAGUCGAGAGGUCCUGCGCCGAAAAUGUCCGGGGCUGAAACACACUACCGAAGCUUGGGAAUUGACGAAUGUUAAUUGGUAGAGGAGCAUUCUUAACGGGGCGAAGCUGUACCGGAAGGAGCAGUGGACUGUUAAGAAGAGAGAAUGCCGGAAUGAGUAGCGAGAGGAAGGUGAGAAUCCUUCCGGCCGAAUAUCUAAGGUUUCCAGAGUAAAGCUGAUCUGCUCUGGGUAAGUCGGGGCCUAAGGCGAGGUCGAAAGACGUAGUCGAUGGAUAACAGGUUGAAAUUCCUGUACCGCAUAUAAACAGAACUGUGGGGACGCAUGUGGAGAGCACGAGCCGGGAAAGAGAAAACCGGUACAAGCGGGGUAGGAGUAAGGACAGCAAAUCUUCCUUACAAUCCGAAGACGUGAUGUGGACUGAAAAUAAGUAGGGAAGCACGUGAGCUGACUGUCAAGAAAAGCCGCUAUUGUUUAUACCGUACCCGUACCGUAAACCGACACAGGUGGAUGAGGAGAGAAUCCUAAGGCCGGCGGGAGAAGCAUUGUUAAGGAACUCGGCAAAAUGACCCCGUAACUUCGGGAGAAGGGGUGCCUGCGAGAGCAGGCCGCAGAGAAUAGGCUCAAGCAACUGUUUAGCAAAAACACAGGUCUAUGCGAAACCGAAAGGUGAGGUAUAUGGGCUGACGCCUGCCCGGUGCUGGAAGGUUAAGAGGAGAGGUUAGCGCAAGCGAAGCUUUGAAUUUAAGCCCCAGUAAACGGCGGCCGUAACUAUAACGGUCCUAAGGUAGCGAAAUUCCUUGUCGGGUAAGUUCCGACCCGCACGAAAGGCGUAAUGAUUUGGGCACUGUCUCAACAGCCCGCCCGGCGAAAUUGUAGUACCGGUGAAGAUGCCGGUUACCCGCGACAAGACGGAAAGACCCCAUGGAGCUUUACUGUAGCCUAAUAUUGGGUUUCGAUGUUGCAUGCACAGGAUAGAUGGGACACUGGGAAACAAUCGCUUUGGCGGUUGCGGAGUGGCCGUUGGGAUACCAUCCUUGCGAUAUUGGAAUUCUAACCUGCGGCUCUGAAUCGAGUCGGGGGACAUUGUUAGGUGGGCAGUUUGACUGGGGCGGUCGCCUCCUAAAGAGUAACGGAGGCGUUCAAAGGUUCGCUCAGCUUGAACGGAAAUCAAGCAAAAGAGUGCAAACGCAGAAGCGAGCCUAACUGCGAGACUGACGGGUCGAGCAGUAACGAAAGUUGGAGUUAGUGAUCCGGUGGUAUGUGAGUGGAAAUGCCAUCGCUCAACGGAUAAAAGUUACCCUGGGGAUAACAGGCUGAUCUCCCCCAAGAGUCCACAUCGACGGGGAGGUUUGGCACCUCGAUGUCGGCUCAUCGCAUCCUGGGGCUGUAGUAGGUCCCAAGGGUUGGGCUGUUCGCCCAUUAAAGCGGUACGCGAGCUGGGUUCAGAACGUCGUGAGACAGUUCGGUCCCUAUCCGGCGUGGGCGUAGGAUAUUUGAGAGGAGCUGUCCUUAGUACGAGAGGACCGGGAUGGACUGGCCGCUGGUGUAUCUGUUGCAUACCAAGUGCAUGGCAGAGUAGCCAAGCCGGG
Molecule: ribosomal RNA, 2725 nt
Filed under: human gut metagenome
Description: bacterial LSU rRNA
Rfam family: Bacterial large subunit ribosomal RNA
Source: RNAcentral